CAGUAGGUGGGAGGUGUCAGCCGAGUCCAGCAGUGGCCAAGAUAAGGAUAAAAGGCUGUCUUCGCGACAGCCCACUACACUGGCUGCAGUGGCACAGAGCAGAACUCACACAUCUGAUUCUCCAGCAGUUGUUUAUUUGGCCUGACAGCAUUGUCCUUACAUCAUGUUCUGCAGAAGCGUUAGUUGGUUCAUCUGCAUUUUUGUCGCAGUUCUCACAGCUGCCGACUAUAGCGACUCUCAUCCCAGUACAGGAUUAGAUCCCGAAGUCACAGUCUACCACUUUGGAACUGACAAUAUGAGUAAGU
Long non-coding RNA from Schistocerca piceifrons (Central American locust), 305 nucleotides. RefSeq lists it as uncharacterized. The transcript is spliced from 3 exons. The record is from RefSeq and is a predicted model, not a curated record. Lineage: Eukaryota; Metazoa; Arthropoda; Insecta; Orthoptera; Acrididae.